RNAcentral lists this ribosomal RNA (406 nucleotides) under uncultured bacterium. RNAcentral's name for it is "bacterial SSU rRNA". It matches the Rfam family "Bacterial small subunit ribosomal RNA", at positions 355 to 776 of the family's 1533-position model. The record is from RNAcentral. RNAcentral also lists the same sequence under 1 other name.
UGGGGAAUAUUGGGCAAUGGGCGCAAGCCUGACCCAGCAACGCCGCGUGAAGGAAGAAGGCUUUCGGGUUGUAAACUUCUUUUGUCAGGGAAGAUGAAGAGACUGUACCUGACGAAUAAGCCACGGCUAACUACGUGCCAGCAGCCGCGGUAAUACGUAGGUGGCAAGCGUUGUCCGGAUUUACUGGGUGUAAAGGGCGUGUAGGCGGGAAGAUAAGUCAGGCGUGAAAACCAGAGGCUCAACCUCUGGCCUGCGUUUGAAACUGUUUUUCUUGAGUACUGGAGAGGUUGGCGGAAUUCCUAGUGUAGCGGUGAAAUGCGUAGAUAUUAGGAGGAACACCAGUGGCGAAGGCGGCCAACUGGACAGCAACUGACGCUGAGGCGCGAAAGCGUGGGGAGCAAACAGG